This 204-nucleotide ribosomal RNA is filed under the name uncultured bacterium. Its description in RNAcentral is "partial 16S ribosomal RNA". It matches the Rfam family "Bacterial small subunit ribosomal RNA", at positions 524 to 726 of the family's 1533-position model. The record is from RNAcentral.
UACGAGGGAUCCUAGCGUUGUCCGGAAUCACUGGGCGUAAAGGGCGCGUAGGCGGCUCAUGAAGGCUGUGGUGAAAGUCCGGGGCUCAACCUCGGAUCGGCCGUGGCGACUCGUGGGCUGGAGCACUGUAGAGGCGGGUGGAAUUCCGGGUGUAGCGGUGGAAUGCGUAGAGAUCCGGGAAGAACACCAGUGGCGAAGGCGGCC